CCUACGGGCGGCAGCAGUGAGGAAUAUUGGUCAAUGGGCGCGAGCCUGAACCAGCCAAGCAGCGUGAAGGAUGACUGCCCUACGGGUGUUAAGUUUCUUUUAUAAAGGAGUAAAGUGAGGCACGUGUGCCUUUUUGUAUUUACUUUACGAAUAAGGAUCGGCCAAGUUCGUGCCAGGAGCCGCGGUAAUAUGGAGGGUCCGAGCGUUACCCGGAUUUAAGUGGUUUAAAGGGAGCGUAGGGGGUUUGUUAAGUCAGUUGUGAAAGUUUGUGGAUCAACCCUAAAAUUGCAAUUGAUACUGGCAGGCUUGAGUACAGUAGAGGUAGGCGGAAUUCGUGGUGUAGCGGUGAAAUGCGUAGAUAUCACGAAGAACACCGAUUGCGAAGGCAGCCUACUGGAC
RNAcentral lists this ribosomal RNA (399 nucleotides) under uncultured bacterium. RNAcentral describes it as "partial 16S ribosomal RNA". It matches the Rfam family "Bacterial small subunit ribosomal RNA", at positions 338 to 734 of the family's 1533-position model. The record is from RNAcentral.